UCAUUCGGAUUCGCCAUCAUACGUCCAACCGUGCAUUUGAUAUGCAUAUAUAUGCAUCACGAGCCAUGGUUGGGCUGUAUGAUGGCGAUACCGAUUGG
Molecule: non-coding RNA, 98 nt
Organism: Triticum aestivum (bread wheat)
Lineage: Eukaryota; Viridiplantae; Streptophyta; Magnoliopsida; Poales; Poaceae
Source: Rfam